This 23-nucleotide non-coding RNA is filed under the name Cricetulus griseus (Chinese hamster). The record is from RNAcentral. Lineage: Eukaryota; Metazoa; Chordata; Mammalia; Rodentia; Cricetidae.
GAUAUCGCUGGUGCUUAGAGUGA